RNAcentral lists this non-coding RNA (84 nucleotides) under Bacillus tuaregi. Its description in RNAcentral is "Cyclic di-GMP-I riboswitch". It matches the Rfam family "c-di-GMP-I riboswitch aptamer". Rfam says of the family: GEMM was predicted in a large-scale screen for bacterial structured RNA regulatory elements. Genes associated with GEMM are involved in a diverse array of functions, including chemotaxis regulation, signal transduction, secretion and chitin. Lineage: Bacteria; Bacillati; Bacillota; Bacilli; Caryophanales; Bacillaceae. The record is from RNAcentral.
AAUAAAGGCAAACCAGUUGAAAAGCUGGGACGCAAAGCUACAGGCCUACUGUUAUUAGGGUAACUAGGGUGGCUGGGCUGCUGA